Molecule: non-coding RNA, 184 nt
Filed under: Symbiodinium microadriaticum
Lineage: Eukaryota; Dinophyceae; Suessiales; Symbiodiniaceae
Description: Eukaryotic large subunit ribosomal RNA
Rfam family: Eukaryotic large subunit ribosomal RNA
Source: Rfam by way of RNAcentral
ACACUGGUCAGAUGUUGUGAAAUGAUGUAGGAGGUGUAGCAUAGGUUCAGUGAUCUGGAAAUACCACUAUUGAUUGUCAUUUUACUUAUUCCGUGAGACUGAAGCUUGCAUCAUAUGAGUUGUUGAUUUGACAUUGCUUCUUUUGGCAGCUCAUCUGUGCGGAGGACAUAGUCAGGUGGGGAGU